UGCUAGCCAAGUCGUGCAGUUUACUGUCAGAUUUUAUAGUUCUUUCUCUAGUUAAUCCUGCGUGAUUUACAUUUCAGAGAUGUGGUGGUUGUCAACUUUGAGUUGUGGUUCUGCACGUUUCAAAGGUUCUGAUAUACUUAUUUGAGAUUGUUUUAGAAGUUGCCGGUCUUUCAGUACUAUUUGGUACCACGGCUUUGUGGAUGCUUCAUCUGAUAUUUACUUUCAUACUCAGCUUUCUAUGCUAUUAUGGAAAGCGUGUUUACAGUAUUUCUAGGAGUACCUUUGCAAAAAUUUAAAAGAAAAAUUAUAAUUAGGAGACCUUUGAAUGAAUAGAUUUUAGUGAGUUUCUG
Molecule: long non-coding RNA, 350 nt
Filed under: Capsicum annuum
Lineage: Eukaryota; Viridiplantae; Streptophyta; Magnoliopsida; Solanales; Solanaceae
Description: long non-coding RNA (CANN_LNC016486)
Source: RNAcentral